AACGCAAAUUGCACUCCCUGGUAUUCCGGGGAGUAUGCCUGUUUGAGGGUCGUUAGAAUAAAAAUCGAGGCGUCGCUCUUUUUUUUAAGGGUGAUCGCGUCGGAAUUGAGCCGUCUUUCAAAUGUUAAUUCAUGUCAAAGUGGCUUAAAAUUCAUCCAUCCGGUACGAUUAAAGCGUAUUUAAGAUCAAUUUUGAUUAAGAACGCGCGAUGACGUACCAUCUCAUGUAGUACGUUUGACCUGGCGUCGUCAGGAUCAUUCGUAUACGAUACUCAAACUUUUGACCUCAAAUCAGGUAAGAAUACCCGCUGAACUUAA
Molecule: unclassified non-coding RNA, 317 nt
Filed under: uncultured Funneliformis
Lineage: Eukaryota; Fungi; Glomeromycota; Glomeromycetes; Glomerales; Glomeraceae
Description: sequence contains ITS2
Rfam family: 5.8S ribosomal RNA (bases 1-52)
Source: RNAcentral